GCUCAGAUUGAACGCUGGCGGCAGGCCUAACACAUGCAAGUCGAGCGGUAGCACAGAGAGCUUGCUCUCGGGUGACGAGCGGCGGACGGGUGAGUAAUGUCUGGGAAACUGCCUGAUGGAGGGGGAUAACUACUGGAAACGGUAGCUAAUACCGCAUAAUGUCGCAAGACCAAAGUGGGGGACCUUCGGGCCUCAUGCCAUCAGAUGUGCCCAGAUGGGAUUAGCUAGUAGGUGGGGUAACGGCUCACCUAGGCGACGAUCCCUAGCUGGUCUGAGAGGAUGACCAGCCACACUGGAACUGAGACACGGUCCAGACUCCUACGGGAGGCAGCAGUGGGGAAUAUUGCACAAUGGGCGCAAGCCUGAUGCAGCCAUGCCGCGUGUGUGAAGAAGGCCUUCGGGUUGUAAAGCACUUUCAGCGGGGAGGAAGGCGAUAAGGUUAAUAACCUC
RNAcentral lists this ribosomal RNA (450 nucleotides) under uncultured bacterium. RNAcentral describes it as "bacterial SSU rRNA". It matches the Rfam family "Bacterial small subunit ribosomal RNA", at positions 22 to 470 of the family's 1533-position model. The record is from RNAcentral.